GAUGAACGCUAGCGGCGUGCCUAAUACAUGCAAGUCGAGCGAACGGACGAGAAGCUUGCUUUUCUGAUGUUAGCGGCGGACGGGUGAGUAACACGUGGAUAGCCUACCUAUAAGACUGGGAUAACUUCGGGAAACCGGAGCUAAUACCGGAUAAUAUUUUGAACCGCAUGGUUCAAAAGUGAAAGACGGUCUUGCUGUCACUUAUAGAUGGAUCCGCGCUGCAUUAGCUAGUUGGUAAGGUAACGGCUUACCAAGGCAACGAUGCAUAGCCGACCUGAGAGGGUGAUCGGCCACACUGGAACUGAGACACGGUCCAGACUCCUACGGGAGGCAGCAGUAGGGAAUCUUCCGCAAUGGGCGAAAGCCUGACGGAGCAACGCCGCGUGAGUGAUGAAGGUCUUCGGAUCGUAAAACUCUGUUAUUAGGGAAGAACAUAUGUGUAAGUAACUGUGCACAUCUUGACGGUACCUAAUCAGAAAGCCACGGCUAACUACGUG
RNAcentral lists this ribosomal RNA (497 nucleotides) under uncultured bacterium. RNAcentral's name for it is "partial 16S ribosomal RNA". It matches the Rfam family "Bacterial small subunit ribosomal RNA", at positions 28 to 507 of the family's 1533-position model. The record is from RNAcentral.